UGCCCCUCACUCCAGCGCCAG
This 21-nucleotide unclassified non-coding RNA is filed under the name Mus musculus (house mouse). RNAcentral describes it as "oocyte_clustered_small_RNA10026". Lineage: Eukaryota; Metazoa; Chordata; Mammalia; Rodentia; Muridae. The record is from RNAcentral.